CCCGGGCCGCCGUGUUCCCGUGCAGGCGGAAAUAUCGCGAGAACAAAAGUGACUAUACCAGUGAACAUGUCAAAAAGGAGGGACGUAGAGUUCUCGCGAUACUGCUUGUGUGACGAAGCGCUUCGCUAUUCCAGGGGCGUGGUCAAGGUGAAAGGGGCGUGUCUACGCUGAACGGAAGAUGGAAGGUGUCUCAGUUACGGCUGCGUGGGCGCUCCGAAGCAGCUUCCGUUGUGGAGGGGACGAGUGUCCGCUCGGAAGAUCGAUCACCUGUGGUGAGAGCUGGGGCGCUGACAGGGUCGCCAGCACCGCACUCCUUCCUUCUCCGCAGUUUUGCACCCGGUCUCUGCGUCCCUGUUUCCCAGGUUAAGAGCACUUACACUUCUUUCCAGUGUAGGCGACUCUUUCAAGUGUGCCUCAGUCUGUCAUGUUUCCUGCCCCGGAAGCUCGAUGCCGACCUCCGCACGCCCCUCCAUGAGUGUCUGGACAUUCUGACAACUUCCACC
Molecule: long non-coding RNA, 503 nt
Filed under: Heterocephalus glaber (naked mole-rat)
Lineage: Eukaryota; Metazoa; Chordata; Mammalia; Rodentia; Bathyergidae
Description: lncRNA (ENSHGLG00100052355.1)
Source: RNAcentral